RNAcentral lists this ribosomal RNA (253 nucleotides) under uncultured bacterium. RNAcentral's name for it is "partial 16S ribosomal RNA". It matches the Rfam family "Bacterial small subunit ribosomal RNA", at positions 524 to 776 of the family's 1533-position model. The record is from RNAcentral.
UACGUAGGGUGCGAGCGUUGUCCGGAAUUACUGGGCGUAAAGAGCUCGUAGGUGGUUUGUCGCGUUGUCCGUGAAAACUCACAGCUUAACUGUGGGCGUGCGGGCGAUACGGGCAGACUGGAGUACUGCAGGGGAGACUGGAAUUCCUGGUGUAGCGGUGGAAUGCGCAGAUAUCAGGAGGAACACCGGUGGCGAAGGCGGGUCUCUGGGCAGUAACUGACGCUGAGGAACGAAAGCGUGGGGAGCGAACAGG